Molecule: ribosomal RNA, 247 nt
Filed under: uncultured Bdellovibrio sp.
Lineage: Bacteria; Pseudomonadati; Bdellovibrionota; Bdellovibrionia; Bdellovibrionales; Pseudobdellovibrionaceae
Description: partial 16S ribosomal RNA
Rfam family: Bacterial small subunit ribosomal RNA
Source: RNAcentral
GUUUUUCGCUUCCCGAUGAGCCCGCGUCAGAUUAGCUAGUUGGUGAGAUAACGGCUCACCAAGGCAACGAUCUGUAACUGGUCUGAGAGGAUGACCAGUCACACUGGAACUGAGACACGGUCCAGACUCCUACGGGAGGCAGCAGUAGGGAAUAUUGCACAAUGGAGGAAACUCUGAUGCAGCGACGCCGCGUGAGUGAUGAAGGACUUCGGUUCGUAAAGCUCUGUCGCAUGGGAAUAAUAAAGUG